Non-coding RNA from Cyanistes caeruleus (blue tit), 1201 nucleotides. The record is from RefSeq and is a predicted model, not a curated record. Lineage: Eukaryota; Metazoa; Chordata; Aves; Passeriformes; Paridae.
AAUUAAAAUGAUGAUUUGAAAUAUCCUGUGGUAUUUCAAUAUGCAGUGGCAAAAAGUGGAAAAGGUGUGUUGAUGUGGAAAAUUCUUAAUUAACAUUUGAGUAAGUAUCUUCUGUCUACUUUCUUCUCAGAUCACUGUGCAAGACUUUAAUAUCCUCAUGUAUCCUCUGCACUAUAAAUCCUCAGUUCUACAUCAAGGAGUGUCAUGUAUGAUCAACAGUUUCUUAUUAUAAAUUGUGAUGGGUACUAUUGAGCUACUUACCAACAGGAUACUUGCCUCAGACUUGGAAUGAAUAUUAAUAAAACUGUUAGUCCUCUGUCAAUAAACAAGGCUCCAACUCAUUUCUGAUCUGUGAAGACAACAGUAGAUGAAGAACAAAACUGAAGGAUAUUUCUGCAGCGCUGAGAGGAAAUGGUUCAGAAAAUGCCAAGACUGUGAGGGCAGCCAAGGCAAAAGAGCAGGAACUCGGUUAGAGCUGUAUCAGCCAAGUGGGCCCACCAAACGAGACGCUGCUCCCUGGGAAUAUUCUUCCUGCACCCCCAUGUGGAGCUUGCUCUGCAGCAGCAGCCUUUCACCAUCCUUGUAACUGGUGUGCUAAUUGUGCCAUUUUGAACAGCUCUAAAAUAAAUCAGACUGUAGCCACAUUGAAAAAAAAAUAUACAAUAUGGCUGUGUCUGAAACCUCACUACAGUCUAAUUUCUUCAAAUGUUGCUGUCAUAUCUAUAUCACAAGAAACUGUUCUGCAGCAGCAGGGAUUGAUUCCACUUCUUCUCUUUUCUCAGGGAAUAACCUUUGAAAAACUUUCAAAAUGAUGGUAAUUCACAAAGGCCAGACAAAACAAUUUUUUAAUAAAAACAUUUGCCCCAAAAAGGAACAGGCUGUUUAAAGAGCUUAGACCUCCAAAUCGUCACCCUGUGUGCUCUCUGUAAUUUAAUACUGGGGAUCUUGGCUGACUUCAUUAAGAGGAUGACAGUGAAAUUGAGAUAAAUUAUCCUGUGGUGAGGGAGGGACUGAUACAGAGAAAAUUACAACCAGCAGGAAAAAUAGGUUAUACAAUCACACAGGUAACUUACUUCCACUUUAGUGUUAGAAUGAAUUUCAUUAACAAAAUAUGUAUUUUGCAUUGGAGACCAUGCCAUUGUGAAAUCAAGCACAUGAUUCACACAAAUGCACCCACAAGAUGCUGGACCAUUCUUAUGUU